This 184-nucleotide ribosomal RNA is filed under the name uncultured bacterium. RNAcentral describes it as "partial 16S ribosomal RNA". It matches the Rfam family "Bacterial small subunit ribosomal RNA", at positions 1318 to 1500 of the family's 1533-position model. The record is from RNAcentral.
ACAUGAAGCUGGAAUCGCUAGUAAUCGCAGAUCAGAAUGCUGCGGUGAAUACGUUCCCGGGUCUUGUACACACCGCCCGUCACACCAUGAGAGUUGGCAAUACCCAACGUACGUGAUCUAACCCGCAAGGGAGGAAGCGUCCUAAGGUAGGGUCAGCGAUUGGGUGAAGUCGUAACAAGGUACC